CGGGGUGAGUAAUGUCUGGGAAACUGCCUGAUGGCGGGGGAUAACUACUGGAAACGGUAGCUAAUACCGCAUAAUGUCUACGGACCAAAGCGGGGGACCUCCGGGCCUCGCGCCAUCAGAUGAACCCAUAUGGGAUUAGCUAGUAGGUGAGGUAACGGCUCACCUAGGCGACGAUCCCUAGCUGGUCUGAGAGGAUGACCAGCCACACUGGAACUGAGACACGGUCCAG
RNAcentral lists this ribosomal RNA (229 nucleotides) under uncultured bacterium. Its description in RNAcentral is "partial 16S ribosomal RNA". It matches the Rfam family "Bacterial small subunit ribosomal RNA", at positions 104 to 334 of the family's 1533-position model. The record is from RNAcentral.